AUAGCGUAUAUUAAAGUUGUUGCAGUUAAAAAGCUCGUAGUUGAACUUCAGACCUGGCUGGACGGUCUGCCUAACGGUAUGUACUGUCCGGCUGGGCCUUACCUCUUGGUGAGCCGGCAUGCCCUUCAUUGGGUGUGUUGGGGAACCAGGACUUUUACCUUGAGAAAAUUAGAGUGUUCAAAGCAGGCUUAUGCUCGAAUACAUUAGCAUGGAAUAAUAAAAUAGGACGUGCGGUUCUAUUUUGUUGGUUUCUAGAGUCGCCGUAAUGAUUAAUAGGGAUAGUUGGGGGCAUUAGUAUUUAAUUGUCAGAGGUGAAAUUCUUGGAUUUAUUAAAGACUAACUUCUG
RNAcentral lists this ribosomal RNA (346 nucleotides) under uncultured eukaryote. RNAcentral's name for it is "SSU rRNA". It matches the Rfam family "Eukaryotic small subunit ribosomal RNA", at positions 594 to 945 of the family's 1831-position model. The record is from RNAcentral.